This 1026-nucleotide long non-coding RNA is filed under the name Cricetulus griseus (Chinese hamster). Its description in RNAcentral is "lncRNA (ENSCGRG00000025259.1)". Lineage: Eukaryota; Metazoa; Chordata; Mammalia; Rodentia; Cricetidae. The record is from RNAcentral.
AAACACACGGAAAGGGAGUAUGAAUCAUCCCCAACAGGCAGUGAGUCAGAUGAGAUGACCCAGGUCUCCUGACACUGGUGCUGGGGGCCCAUUCACAAGGCCGGGCAUCCUGCCUACUGUUAUUUCCAAACAUUUAGUAUCGUCUGCAGCUUCAUGCCCCUUGCACCGGCUGGCUCACUUUUGAUUAAGUUGUUGGUUGUGAUACAAACAGGCAAGGGAUUCUGUCUUUUCUCCAUUCUAGAAGAACCUGAAACAUUUACAUAUUUUCCCAGGAGCUUUCAAUGUCCCAAAAUGUGGGCUUCUGAGGAAACCUUGUAAUGAGAAUUCUGAAGAGCUCCCUGACAAAAACAUAUUGGGCCAGGCCAAAAAUCCAGCUGAGGUUAGAAGUGGGGGACUCAUCCCCAGUUGGUGCUCUUUUCUGGUGGCUGAUACAUCUUUUCUAACACCUGGUGACAGUUUUUUACCUCUGUAGGUGCUGAGAAGCCUAAAAAACGGCUGUGGUGAGCUACUUCUUGUGGCAUCCAAGUAUUUUGAAACCCUGGGGAGACUUGUGAAAAGAAAGUGCUCCUGGGUCUUCCUGCAGGCCUUCCCGGGGGAAGAAGAAAAGGAACAAAUCCCUCUCUUAACUGGAUCCCUUCCCGGCUCAAUUUGGGGGAAUAUAAAAGAAAUCCAACUGGUUUUAGUCACUAAGGAUUACAAGCAACUGAAGAAGCUUUGCUGGCCAUCCUCUCCCAUCCUUUUAAAACUGUCAGUGGCAUCGCCUUCUUCGUUGCCCUGGGGGAGACAGUUUGGUGCUGUACUUCUUCAACAGAGAGACACAGAAUGCCAGCAGUGGAAGUAACAGCACCAAGAAGUUGUGGGAUCCAACCUCUUCCUGCAAGAAGAGGAAACAGAAAAGGGAGAGAAGAAAUGAUGUGUCCAAGGCCACCCAGCUCACUAGUGGUUGAGAAGAGGACCUGAGACUGAAUUUCAGGGUUAGUGUUUUUCCCCCAUACUGCACCACUUCAAAGGGGAACUCAUUUUGCA